RNAcentral lists this ribosomal RNA (460 nucleotides) under uncultured bacterium. RNAcentral describes it as "partial 16S ribosomal RNA". It matches the Rfam family "Bacterial small subunit ribosomal RNA", at positions 338 to 795 of the family's 1533-position model. The record is from RNAcentral.
CCUACGGGGGGCAGCAGUGAGGAAUAUUGGUCAAUGGGCGCGAGCCUGAACCAGCCAAGUCGCGUGAAGGAUGACUGCCCUACGGGUUGUACACUUCUUUUAUAACGGAAUAAAGUGAGGCAAGUGUGCCUUAUUGUAUGUACUUUAUGGAUAAUGAUCGGCUAACUCAGUGCAAGCAGCCGGGGUAAUACGGAGGAUCCGAGCGUUAUCCGGAUUUAUUGGGUUUAAAGGGAACGUAGAUGGGUUGUUAAGUCAGUUGUGAAAGUUUGCGGCUCAACAGUAAAAUUGCAAGUGAUACUGGCAGUCUUGAGUACAGUUGAGGUAGGUGGAAUUCGUGGUGUAGCAGUGAAAUGCUUAGAUAUCACGAAGAACUCCGAUUGCGAAGGCAGCUUACUAAACUGCCACUGACAUUGAUGCUCGAAAGUGUGGGUAUCAAACAGGAUUAGAUACCCGUGUAGUC